This 363-nucleotide RNase P RNA is filed under the name bovine gut metagenome. RNAcentral describes it as "Bacterial RNase P class A". It matches the Rfam family "Bacterial RNase P class A". Rfam says of the family: Ribonuclease P (RNase P) is a ubiquitous endoribonuclease, found in archaea, bacteria and eukarya as well as chloroplasts and mitochondria. Its best characterised activity is the generation of mature 5'-ends of tRNAs by cleaving the 5'-leader elements of precursor-tRNAs. Cellular RNase Ps are ribonucleoproteins. The record is from RNAcentral.
GGAUGAUCGCGGCUGCGGAGUUUUCCCGGGUCACCGGGGAGAUGUUCCCCGAAAGGGUGCAGGUGAGGAAAGUCCGGGCUUCACAGGGCAGGAUGCCGGAUAACGUCCGGCGGAGGCGACUCCCGGGACAGUGCAACAGAGAGCAGACCGCCGCCUCAUGGCGGUAAGGGUGAAAGGGCAGUGUAAGAGACUACCGCUUCUCCGGCAACGGGGAAGGCAUUGCAAACCCCAUCCGAAGCAAGACCGAGAAGAGGGCAACGGCCGGCCCGGCCACGCCUUCAGGUGGGUCGCUCGAGGCCGCCGGCGACGGCGGUCCUAGAUAGAUGAUCAUCCAAGACAGAACCCGGCUUACAGCUCCGCUCA